This is a non-coding RNA of Pelobates cultripes (western spadefoot toad), 490 nucleotides long. The record is from the annotation of a GenBank genome assembly. NCBI's taxonomy places the organism in Eukaryota, Metazoa, Chordata, Amphibia, Anura, Pelobatidae.
CAUAGCCAUGGGAAGCCACAGGAAUUUCUGCAGGGGUGUGGGGCAUAAUUGUAAUGACAUCCAUACUUGCCCCCUUUUUGACAGGGAAGGGGCAUAGUCAUUAUCAUAUAAAGCCAGGAUAAAUAGCGUAUUCACAACUGUGGUGUCAGGAAUAUAUUUUUCGAUUCCUGAUACUAUAGUGUUCAGGGGUCAAGUCCUGGGGGGAAAAGUGUGGGAACUCACCCAAGAUCUCACCCCACCUCCCACGCCUCUAAAAAUAUAAUUAAAAAAAAUACACUCCUAUGCAUAUGUGUAUACUGAAUGUAGUGUGUUUGUAGUGAGUGCAGAGUGUGUAUAAUGAAUGUAGUGUGUUUGUAGUAAAGUGCAGUGUGUAUAAUAAAUGUACUGUGUAGUGAGUGCAGUGUGUGUAUGAAUGUAGUGUGUAGUGAGUGCAGAGUGUGUAUAAUGAAUGUAGUGUGUUUGUAGUGAGUGCAGUGUGUAUAAUAAACGC